Long non-coding RNA from Herpailurus yagouaroundi (jaguarundi), 1829 nucleotides. RefSeq lists it as uncharacterized. The record is from RefSeq and is a predicted model, not a curated record. The transcript has 8 exons. Lineage: Eukaryota; Metazoa; Chordata; Mammalia; Carnivora; Felidae.
CCAACUGAGCUACCCAGGUGCCUUAUCCUUGUCCAUUUUUCACAGAACUCCAUGUUAUUACUUUGUUGAGCCAUGAAUUGAGCUAUAGCCAUCUUUCUCUGCUCAGGGAUUUAGCCCAAGCUGCCAAAGGGGUUCAGUUAGAAGGCAACUGGUGUGUGCCCACCCAGUGUGGCAUCCACAAGCAUCCUUCCUACCAACACCCCAGUUAAGGUUUCUCCUGUCAGAAUGAGCUCCUCUUCUGAGGGCUCCACCCCAGAGUCAUGGGGUGGCCCUAAUCUCAGGGUCUAGGUCCUGCCAUUGGGCAUUACCUCAGAUGCUCCCUGUGUUAUCUCACUGAGUAUGUUCUUUAGUUUAAGCCAUUAUGAAAAUAGAACUCAAGCAGCCUAUUUCUGCAGGCCUGAAUUUCAGGUGUGACUCUUGGGCUUAUACUUGCUAGCUGUGAGAUUUGGGACAAGUCACUUAAAAACAGACAUACAACACCUUUCUAAAUCUUGGUUUCCUUAUCUGUUGUAUGUGGGUACCAGCAGCUAACUGAAAACCAACUUUAUUUUUUUUUCUAGCAUCCCACUUGUAGGACAAAAAAAUAAAUAACAAGAAGUCAAAUUCAAUUUUGGGGUUUCUUUUAUAAGCCAAUUUUUCAAACUCACCUGUGAAGAUUUAGCCUGAACUCCUAUGCUCCUGGAACUACAUCUCUAAUUAUAACAUCCUUGUAGUUGCAGGUUUUAAGUUAAUGAAAAUGGUUUCAUGGAAGAUUUUUGUAAUCUUCACGUAAUCCUGUGGAGAACAAAUGCGAAAACAGACGCCUAUGGCUUUAAGAGAAACAGUCAUCCUGGAGAGUGUUGCAGGUGUUAAGGAAAAGAAUGUUUCUCGUGCCUUGGUUCAGGGGAUUCCCAAAGGCACACUGUGUCUGCUUCCAACAGCCCGCAGCCUUCAAGGUAAAGAAAGUGGAUCCCAGAGUGGCUAAGAGAUGAGGCAAAACCAGGAUGAAUUUGAAUUCUCUAGGCAAAGCCUGCAAGAGGAGCCCACUGCUCCACUGAAUUCUCCUGUACAAGUUGAAGCUCAUGUGGAACAGAAUCUACAGUGAGAGAUACUGAAUGGUCCUUUUGUAUACUUUGAUCUGAAAGCUUCCCAACCUCUAAGGCAUAUUUUCAGAGUAGAACUAAAGAGAGAGACAGAGAUGCUGAGGAAACUGAGCCAUAAAGCAUGCUGUGCAGGUGAUACAUUGAAGAACCACUCAGCCCACAUCACACAUGUUCCUUAGCCUGCCUGCCUCCAUUGGAGGGCUAUCCCAAUAAAUCCAGAUUGCCUGCUGAGAUGAUCAUCAAAAAGAAUUUCUUAUCUGAAGUUGAAAAAAGAUUCUUGGAAUCCUUUCUGCCAAUAAAACUUGGAAGUUUUGCAACAACACCAACAGGGCAAGCAACUUAGACGUGAGGCUGCCGUGUUGCCUGUAGGUUCGGCCCGGGUCCCACCCUGUCUGUCCCAUGGAAGCAAAUCUGCACAACUAGGAUUACCCUGCACACCACCACAACUGACAAGAGGGCCAAGAACAGACAAAGGAGCCAGGAGUUCAAUUAUCUAAGCAGGGGUUGGAGAUGUCUCUGCAAGACAGGCUACUUGGCAUAGUUGGGAGCCCUGGAGCUGCCGUAAGCACAGGGCACGAAGCCCCUGGACGGAGAAAUCGCUGAGCCAGGCCCUGUGGUCAGCUGUACAAGAACUGCCUCAUUCAAGCCUCAAAAAGCCCCACAGAGGGAGUAGUAUGUGAAGAGUAAUGGGGACCAAAGAGACUAAUAAGGAGACAAAGAGAGACAAGGCCAUGGCGAAAGCAGAGG